This 446-nucleotide ribosomal RNA is filed under the name uncultured bacterium. Its description in RNAcentral is "partial 16S ribosomal RNA". It matches the Rfam family "Bacterial small subunit ribosomal RNA", at positions 338 to 795 of the family's 1533-position model. The record is from RNAcentral.
CCUACGGGAGGCUGCAGUCGAGAAUCAUUCACAAUGGGGGAAACCCUGAUGGUGCGAAGCCGCGUGGGGGAAUGAAGGCCUUCGGAUUGUAAACCCCUGUUAUGUGGGAGCAAAUUAAAAAGAUAGUACCACAAGAGGAAGAGACGGCCAACUCUGUGCCAGUAGCUGCGGUACUACAGCGGCAUCAAGAGUUGUUCGGAAUCACUGGGCGUAAAGCGUGCGUAGGCGGUUUCGUAAGUCGUGUGUGAAAGGCGCGGGCUCAACCCGCGGACGGCACAUGAUACUGCGAGGCUAGAGUAGUGUAGAGGGAAGCGGAAUUCUCGGUGUAGCAGUGAAAUGCGUAGAUAUCGAGAGGAACACUCGUGGCGAAGGCAGGUUCCUGGACAGUAACUGACGCUGAGGCACGAAGGCCAGGGGAGCGAAAGGGAUUAGAUACCCCUGUAGUC